UUGCUUUAUUUAUAUUUUGACUCAGAAGUAAUACACGAUUCAUUCAAGAGUUUAAAUUGGGCUAUCGACGAACGCGGGCCAGAGGACUAUUGAGAGUCCUCCGGCGGUCCUUUCGGACGGGUCCGCCGAAGCAACAUGAGUUUGGUAAACACAGGGUUGGGAGGUCGGGCCGGUGACGACCCUCACUCUUUAAUGAUCUUUCCGCAGGUUCACUAUAAAACAGUUAGCAUAUAUACUUUGAAUGAUGGAAUGGUGGAAAGAAGCUCUAAGAGCUCCUUUCCGGAGAGGAGACGUACCCUACGGAAA
Molecule: unclassified non-coding RNA, 306 nt
Filed under: uncultured fungus
Lineage: Eukaryota; Fungi
Description: sequence contains ITS1
Source: RNAcentral